This 404-nucleotide ribosomal RNA is filed under the name uncultured bacterium. RNAcentral's name for it is "partial 16S ribosomal RNA". It matches the Rfam family "Bacterial small subunit ribosomal RNA", at positions 28 to 526 of the family's 1533-position model. The record is from RNAcentral.
GACGCACGCUGGCGGCGUGCCUAAUACAUGCAAGUCGAACGCAGUGGGGACGGGUGAGUAACACGUGGGUAACCUCCCCAUCAGAGGGGUUUACACUUGGAAACAGGUGCUAAACCGAUACUGAUGGAUGGACCCGCGGUGCAUUAGCUAGUUGGUGAGGUAACGGCUCACCAAGGCCACGAUGCAUAGCGGACCUGAGAGGGGGAUCGGCGACACGGGGACUGAGGAGCGGCCCAGAGUCCUACGGGAGGCAGCAGUAGGGAACCGUCGGCAAUGGACGAAAGUCUGACCGAGCAACGCCGCGUUGGUGAAGAAGGUUUGCGGAUCGUAAAACACUGUUGGUAGAGAAGCGUUAUCUAACCAGAAAGCCAAGGCGAACUACGUGCCAGCAGCCGCGGUAAUAC